RNAcentral lists this transfer RNA (85 nucleotides) under Felis catus (domestic cat). It matches the Rfam family "tRNA". Rfam says of the family: Transfer RNA (tRNA) molecules are approximately 80 nucleotides in length. Lineage: Eukaryota; Metazoa; Chordata; Mammalia; Carnivora; Felidae. The record is from Rfam by way of RNAcentral.
GCCUGGGUGGCUCAGUCGGUUGAGCAUCUGACUUCGGCUCAGGUCAUGAUCUCACAGUUUGUGAGUUUGAGCCCCACGUCAGGCU